CCAGACUCCUACGGGAGGCAGCAGUGGGGAAUAUUGCACAAUGGGGGAAACCCUGAUGCAGCGACGCCGCGUGAGUGAAGAAGUAUUUCGGUAUGUAAAGCUCUAUCAGCAGGGAAGAAAAUGACGGUACCUGACUAAGAAGCCCCGGCUAACUACGUGCCAGCAGCCGCGGUAAUACGUAGGGGGCAAGCGUUAUCCGGAUUUACUGGGUGUAAAGGGAGCGUAGACGGCAUGGCAAGUCAGAUGUGAAAGCCCGGGGCUCAACCCCGGGACUGCAUUUGAAACUGUCAGGCUGGAGUGCAGGAGAGGUAAGUGGAAUUCCUAGUGUAGCGGUGAAAUGCGUAGAUAUUAGGAGGAACACCAGUGGCGAAGGCGGCUUACUGGACUGUAACUGACGUUGAGGCUCGAAAGCGUGGGGAGCAAACAGGAUUAGAUACCCCAGUA
RNAcentral lists this ribosomal RNA (444 nucleotides) under uncultured bacterium. RNAcentral's name for it is "bacterial SSU rRNA". It matches the Rfam family "Bacterial small subunit ribosomal RNA", at positions 331 to 792 of the family's 1533-position model. The record is from RNAcentral.